GAUUUUCCUUGUAAGAGAGGUGAAGGGGGUGAAGAAUUGAAGUGCUAGGGGGUAGCAGUAGUUUUUUGUUCCUGGCCUGUUGAUUUUCCUGGGAUUUCCCCAAUUGCCUAAGCGGGUGAAGAAUUGAAGCUGCUGUUGUUCCUUCUUGCUUUUCUCUAGGCGAGAUCUCUGCUGCUGUUAUGUAGGAGGGGUUGGAGAGUUCCCAAGAGGCCUGCGUUUCUGUGGGUAGCAAGUUGAUGGCCAGCUGUUUGCUGUAGUCCAGCGAGGCUGCCGAGCAGCGAGGUUUGGUGGUGAUGCCGGUUUAGUUGAAACCGGGUCAGGGUUUUGCCCGACUCGUUUAACCCGAAAUGAGAAAAUAAACAGUGGCCGGUGGGGGAUGGGGGUUUGGGACAAGGGCAUGUGUCAUCUGUUCAUUGGUUGGGGAAUUUGAAUGUCG
Molecule: ribosomal RNA, 436 nt
Filed under: Triticum aestivum (bread wheat)
Lineage: Eukaryota; Viridiplantae; Streptophyta; Magnoliopsida; Poales; Poaceae
Description: partial small subunit ribosomal RNA
Source: RNAcentral